This 376-nucleotide ribosomal RNA is filed under the name uncultured bacterium. RNAcentral describes it as "bacterial SSU rRNA". It matches the Rfam family "Bacterial small subunit ribosomal RNA", at positions 524 to 898 of the family's 1533-position model. The record is from RNAcentral.
UACGUAGGUGGCAAGCGUUGUCCGGAUUUACUGGGCGUAAAGGGAGCGUAGGCGGAUACUUAAGUGGGAUGUGAAAUACCUGGGCUUAACUUGGGUGCUGCAUUCCAAACUGGGUGUCUAGAGUGUUGGAGAGGAAAGUGGAAUUCCUAGUGUAGCGGUGAAAUGCGUAGAGAUUAGGAAGAACACCAGUGGCGAAGGCGACUUUCUGGACAAUAACCGACGCUGAGGCUCGAAAGCGUGGGGAGCAAACAGGAUUAGAUACCCUGGUAGUCCACGCCGUAAGCGAUGGGUACUAGGUGUAGGAGGUAUCGACUCCUCCUGUGCCGCCGUUAACACAAUAAGUACCCCGCCUGGGGAGUACGGUCGCAAGAUUGAA